Molecule: long non-coding RNA, 210 nt
Filed under: Mytilus galloprovincialis (Mediterranean mussel)
Lineage: Eukaryota; Metazoa; Mollusca; Bivalvia; Mytilida; Mytilidae
Source: RNAcentral
CGCUUUGAUUAGUUUUUUAUUUGAUGUUGUCUUAUAAUAAACAUAGAACAACUUCGGCAUUUUAAAUUCUGGCCAACAUUCAAACACCGUGUUAACAAACAUUAACAUUUUGUAAAUAACGAAAUACCCUUUGUUUAAAAAUACCAUUGCACGUUAAUCAUCUUAUUCCAGGGAAGCUCGUAUUCUUUUCAUCCUGUUUGUUUCCAUGUU